Molecule: long non-coding RNA, 624 nt
Filed under: Parus major (Great Tit)
Lineage: Eukaryota; Metazoa; Chordata; Aves; Passeriformes; Paridae
Description: lncRNA (ENSPMJG00000006017.1)
Source: RNAcentral
CACAUGGAACAUGCUCAGACAAGCCAGUAUUUACACAGUAACUAGGAGCUGCAAAAUUAAUCAGAGAAGCAGUGGAUGCCAACAAAAAGCUACUCCAGAAAAAACCCAAAACAUAUGUCUCCCUUCAAAAGAAAAAUCUGCUUUUUCACAGCUACAAAGGAUUGAAAACAAAUUUUAUCAUCAAACGUGGAGCUGUGCCAAAUCACAGGCAGCCAGAAGAAAGCUUUGGCACGAAAAGAGCUUUGAUGCCAAGAGGAACAAAGAUGAAACAGCUUUGAGUGAGAAAAAGAGCAAUGAGAUUGCUGCAGCCCACAGGUAAAUAAUAACCUGAGUGUACAGCACCUGGGGGUGGGCUGAUAGAGGCACAUGUAAAGGGAUUUAAAAUUCUGGGAUGCAGGACUUCAGAAAAUGUUUAGUACCUUACUGCUUAUUGGGAAAAAAAGGGAGCAAAAGAGUCACCAAGCAAUUUCUCCCUCAGCUGUGACCAACAAGGCAGUGGAGGAAGGCAGUGCCUGAUAUCAUGGCAUAAUUUCUCAUAUCAGAUCACAAUUUGCACUGUACUUCCCUAAUAUUAUCUUUAUUUGCCAGGCUGCUGGUGACUGGCAAAGUGCUGAUUCUGUGGAG